RNAcentral lists this ribosomal RNA (860 nucleotides) under Podospora nannopodalis. RNAcentral's name for it is "LSU rRNA". It matches the Rfam family "Eukaryotic large subunit ribosomal RNA", at positions 32 to 912 of the family's 3401-position model. The record is from RNAcentral. Lineage: Eukaryota; Fungi; Ascomycota; Sordariomycetes; Sordariales; Podosporaceae.
ACUUAAGCAUAUCAAUAAGCGGAGGAAAAGAAACCAACAGGGAUUGCCUCAGUAACGGCGAGUGAAGCGGCAACAGCUCAAAUUUGAAAUCUGGCCUCGGCCCGAGUUGUAAUUUGUAGAGGAAGCUUUUGGUGCGGCACCGACCGAGUCCCCUGGAACGGGGCGCCAUAGAGGGUGAGAGCCCCGUAUGGUUGGACGCCUAUCCUCUGUAAAGCUCCUUCGACGAGUCGAGUAGUUUGGGAAUGCUGCUCAAAAUGGGAGGUAAAUUUCUUCUAAAGCUAAAUAUUGGCCAGAGACCGAUAGCGCACAAGUAGAGUGAUCGAAAGAUGAAAAGCACUUUGAAAAGAGGGUUAAAUAGCACGUGAAAUUGUUGAAAGGGAAGCGCUUGUGACCAGACUUGCGCCUGGUCGAUCAUCCGGGGUUCUCCCCGGUGCACUCGGCGGGGCUCAGGCCAGCAUCGGUUUUCGUGGGGGGACAAAGGCACCGGGAACGUAGCUCCUCCGGGAGUGUUAUAGCCCGGGGCGUAAUGCCCUCGCGGGGACCGAGGACCGCGCUUCGGCAAGGAUGCUGGCGUAAUGGUCAUCAGCGACCCGUCUUGAAACACGGACCAAGGAGUCAAGGUUUUGCGCGAGUGUUUGGGUGUAAAACCCGCACGCGUAAUGAAAGUGAACGUAGGUGAGAGCUUCGGCGCAUCAUCGACCGAUCCUGAUGUAUUCGGAUGGAUUUGAGUAGGAGCGUUAAGCCUUGGACCCGAAAGAUGGUGAACUAUGCAUGGAUAGGGUGAAGCCAGAGGAAACUCUUAUGGACCCCCGGAGGUUUUCCUCAGGGCAACCCGCUGAACUUAACCCCCCCCCGAAUUU